RNAcentral lists this long non-coding RNA (1249 nucleotides) under Gallus gallus (chicken). RNAcentral describes it as "lncRNA (ENSGALG00000051532.2)". The record is from RNAcentral. Lineage: Eukaryota; Metazoa; Chordata; Aves; Galliformes; Phasianidae.
AAAGUGGUUAUUCUGCUACAGAAAGCUGCCUCAAACUGCUCUUCUGGUUAGCCUCUCUGGAAACAGGCUCAGUGGGAGACUUUAAUCACCUAAUCAAACAAGUAAUAGAAAUGAUUAAUGAUUCCUAACCUGUUCAAACCCAGCAUCUCUCGGGGUCUGCUUCAUCACCUGAACUUACAAGAUCUACAUCUGCCAGCUUGGCUCAGUCAACGUCAUCAGCCUACCUAACCUGAACAAUUUGGAGUGAUGAUGCAGAAUUGUCUGUGUAAGAAGUUGCAUCUAUUUUGUGGUCUCUCCUGAUUAGCUUGCCCUGGCCUUAAUUUUCAUUCUGCCGGAGAAAAACAAGAUUGCUCUCCUGAGCUUUCUCGACUUCAGCAAAUUGAGCUGAUCCCCCUACUUGCAGGAAGGACCUUGUCAGAGGCCACUGCUUGAAUUUUCCCAGAAUUAGAAUAGUUUUUUGUGAAACAACAGCAACAACACUCGCUCAGCCAGAUGGAAAGUGAAGAGACACAUCAUUUGGAUACCUGUCUGCAUCUCUGUUGAAGAAACUAGCACGUGUGCAGUUCUCAAGGGGGCAGAGGAGGAACAAAGCCUUGCCAUCAAGUCGGUUCCAGCAGACAGAAAUCAAUAUUUCCUGCAGAAUUCUUCUAGCGCUAUCAGGAAAGUGACAAUACAGAUAUCAUCAGUUUAGAUGAGAAGAAAGGGGUGAUAGUAGAACAUGGAAGAAGUGAAUAUAUUAAGACAAAGUACAAAGUAACAUAACCAGCCAGCCAGACCUAGAGAAAGCCAUGCUGCAUGUGAAACCUGUGUCCUAGGAUAUUACUUAGGCUUCACAGGCAGCAAAGAGAGACGCACAACCAUCCAGCCUUUCUCUGCAACUGGAGUGAAUUGAUCUCCAAGCAUGCUAAUACAUCCCCUAAAUUUUAUGAGAAAGUUUUCCAGUACUUCCAACAAAUGCCAACAACAUACAAGACCUGGAGGCUUAGUAGCUAGGUGUGAUAUGGACAUUGCAUCUUAAUUUUAACAUUUGAAUAAGCUUAUAUCUCUGGCUAGUCAGCCACCUGUCAAGACUUUUUUUUUAAAAAAAAAUAGCCCUCAGGAAAGCCUGGAAAAUGAAGUAUACAGACCUACAAACACAGAAUAAAUUAAGCAAAGACUUUUACCAAGCCCAUUUGCUGUAAGCACAGCAGCAGUAAUUUCUCUUCAGAUGCACUAUUAGCCCUUCAUGCUCUCAGUUGCUUUUCUGUCG